UGCCCUCCGUCACCAUGACCGAGAGUACGCUGACCACCGACGAGGUCCGGGUGCCCCUGGGCGCUUCGCCCCCGGGCCCUACGGCGGCGGCGGGGGCUUCCCCGGCAAGCCCUGGGGUGCUGGGGUGUGAAGAGGAGCGGGGAUCCGGGCCCGGCGUGUCGCCCCCCGAGAGCCCAGAGGCCGAGCGUGGCGCGGACCUGGGCGCCGACGAGGAACAACCCGUCCCGUACCCGGCACUAGCGGCCACAGUCUUCUUCUGCCUCGGGCAGACCACGCGGCCGCGCAGCUGGUGCCUCCGACUGGUUUGUAAUCCAUAUCCUUCCAGGACUGGCAGGGCGCUGGGGACUAGGGCGCGGGACUCCCCUGCGUAAGCCCUUGAGCCCGGCUUAGGGGAUCCAGCGCGGGCUGGGCAGAGGCGUGAGGGCAGCGUUCUUCCCAGAGGCGGUGGAGGUGUCUUGUGGGGACGCCUCUCGGGACUUGGCAGUGAGAUUCGGGUUCAGAGGCAGCGCUGGACUAGGGGAGUAUGAGAAGCAGCCUCUAGGAUGUUGCCGGCUUGGAAGGGAAAGAAGGGUGGUUAACUCCUGCGUUCUAUGGGUGGAGGUCGGGACGGGAAUCCCCCAGCCCUUCCUUGGGUUUUUGAACACUUGGGCCGGUGCGUCGACCCUCGGUGGGAACAGGGAGGCCAGAAGGGGUAGAGUAAGGGGAGGAAGUUUUCCACCCCGUCUGCGGGACCCUUGGGGCCUGUGUGCCUGUGCCGGGGCGGGGCUGGUCCCUGGUUCUUCUCCCUGAGUGAGGCGGUGACGUUGGUUGAGAACUCUCUUCCAGGCUGAACUCCAUGCAGGGGCUGAUUUAAGUCAUGCGCAGCUGGGGGUAGGGGGCAGGGAGGCAGCCAGCACCGAAUCAGACCCUCUUCUCCACAGUCACUUAGCCAUAGAGGAAAGGAUUGCUCCUUCUGAUUCCUGGCCACAAGGGCACAGAGUUUCAGAGAAGGUUCCAGAACAGAGUUGGGUUAGCGCCAGGGACAUUUCUGGAAUGCAGAAAGAGACUGGGGCACCCCAGCAGGUGGCUUUUGGGGACUGCCCUGGCAGACUGUGAGAAACUGAGAUCCAUGUCUGGUACUGGUUGUAACCCCACCCCCACCCCAAACAGCCCCUCUGAACUGGUCACCAAAGUGGCCUGGGCUGUGGGUGCUGCUGUUUCCUUCCUGGGUAGAAGGCCAAGGGGGGUUGACAUGGGCCCAUAAACUCUCCCCAGCAGAGUCGGAGACAGGCAAAAUGAGCAAUGUGUGUAUAUGUUUCUCUACCUUGUGUGUUUAACUGUAUAAAUAUUAAAUACAAAAGAGGAAUCUGUACCAAAAAAAGUAAUAAAAGCCCGUGUUUCUCUU
RNA transcript from Nannospalax galili (Upper Galilee mountains blind mole rat), 1384 nucleotides. It is a transcript of the gene named voltage-dependent T-type calcium channel subunit alpha-1H pseudogene, with no coding region annotated. Lineage: Eukaryota; Metazoa; Chordata; Mammalia; Rodentia; Spalacidae. The record is from RefSeq and is a predicted model, not a curated record. The transcript has a single exon.